GAUGAACGCUGGCGGCGUGCCUAACACAUGCAAGUCGAGCGAUUCUCUUCGGAGAAGAGCGGCGGACGGGUGAGUAACGCGUGGGUAACCUGCCCUGUACACACGGAUAACAUACCGAAAGGUAUGCUAAUACGAGAUAAUAUACUUUUAUCGCAUGGUAGAAGUAUCAAAGCUUUUGCGGUACAGGAUGGACCCGCGUCUGAUUAGCUAGUUGGUAAGGUAACGGCUUACCAAGGCGACGAUCAGUAGCCGACCUGAGAGGGUGAUCGGCCACAUUGGAACUGAGACACGGUCCAAACUCCUACGGGAGGCAGCAGUGGGGAAUAUUGCACAAUGGGCGAAAGCCUGAUGCAGCAACGCCGCGUGAGCGAUGAAGGCCUUCGGGUCGUAAAGACUCUGUCCUCAAGGAAGAUAAUGACGGUACUUGAGGAGGAAGACCCCGGCGUAACUACGUGCCAGCAGCCGCGGUAA
RNAcentral lists this ribosomal RNA (471 nucleotides) under uncultured bacterium. RNAcentral's name for it is "bacterial SSU rRNA". It matches the Rfam family "Bacterial small subunit ribosomal RNA", at positions 28 to 523 of the family's 1533-position model. The record is from RNAcentral.